UAACUGCACUUUAAACACAUGAUCACAAACACAUCUUUACACAACACACAUACAAACACACUUUCACUUCUUACUGUCAUUAACAACUCAUUCAAAAGUGCAACAUUGCAUUAUAACAUAUAUAUUACAUUGUAAUAAACAGUUUUUAUCACUCCACUGACUCUAUAACUCAUUUGAUUUAGUUUGAUCUCCUGAAUGCUCGUGAAAUAUCCACAAUGAGGAAAAAUCCAGAGAAGUUCCACUGAUUGAAAUGUAUUUAAUAAAUCAGAAAUAAAGAUGUCAAUAAUUUGUGUAUUUUCAUGUAUGAAUUGUUUGUCAUUGCUGCUGUUCUCCUGUAACAGUCACAUUUGCUGGUGAGAGGAAACAGUUUUGAAUGUCCCGCCCCUCUGAUUAAAGCACAAUAUCAGACUGUCUGUUAGUCAGGACUGUCAAACCAACAUCACUGUUCCUUCAGUUCUCACUCAUUCACAGUAAAGAUGACAGCACACGCUCUCAUUAUCUGCUCUCUUCUGCUUUUCACUGCUGAGUGUGAUGGACAGAUCACAGUCACUCAGAGUCCCACAAUAACAGCUCAACCAGGACAACAAGUUCAAAUAAACUGUAAAACCAGCAGUGAUGUUUACUGGGAUAGUACUUAUGGCUCCCGCUUAGCCUGGUACUUACAGAAACCUGGAGAAGCUCCUAAACUCCUCAUUUAUCUGACUGAUAAACUGCAGUCAGGAACUCCAUCUAGAUUCAGUGGCAGUGGAUCUAAAAGUGAUUUCACUCUGACCAUCAGUGGAGUCCAGACUGAAGAUGCAGGACAUUAUUACUGUCAGAGUUAUCAUUACAUCAACAGUAAAGAUGUGUUCACACAGUGA
Molecule: non-coding RNA, 860 nt
Organism: Xyrauchen texanus (razorback sucker)
Lineage: Eukaryota; Metazoa; Chordata; Actinopteri; Cypriniformes; Catostomidae
Source: the annotation of a RefSeq genome assembly